GACGAACGCUGGCGGCGUGCUUAACACAUGCAAGUCGAACGGUAAGGCCCUUCGGGGUACACGAGUGGCGAACGGGUGAGUAACACGUGGGUGAUCUGCCCUGCACUUCGGGAUAAGCCUGGGAAACUGGGUCUAAUACCGGAUAGGACCACUGCCUGCAUGGGUGGCGGUGGAAAGCUUUUGCGGUGUGGGAUGGGCCCGCGGCCUAUCAGCUUGUUGGUGGGGUGAUGGCCUACCAAGGCGACGACGGGUAGCCGGCCUGAGAGGGUGACCGGCCACACUGGGACUGAGAUACGGCCCAGACUCCUACGGGAGGCAGCAGUGGGGAAGAUUGCACAAUGGGCGCAAGCCUGAUGCAGCGACGCAGCGUGAGGGAUGACGGCCUUCGGGUUGUAAACCUCUUUCAGCACCGACGAAGCGCAAGUGACGGUAGGUGCAGAAGAAGGACCGGCCAACUACGUGCCAGCCGCCGCCGUAA
This 478-nucleotide ribosomal RNA is filed under the name uncultured bacterium. Its description in RNAcentral is "partial 16S ribosomal RNA". It matches the Rfam family "Bacterial small subunit ribosomal RNA", at positions 28 to 523 of the family's 1533-position model. The record is from RNAcentral.